Homo sapiens (human) is the source of this 281-nucleotide unclassified non-coding RNA. Lineage: Eukaryota; Metazoa; Chordata; Mammalia; Primates; Hominidae. The record is from Ensembl.
GCCGGGCAAGGUGGCUCAUGCCUGUAAUCUCAGCACUUUGGGAGGCUGAGGUGGGUGGAUCACUUGAGGUCAGGAGUUCAAGACCAGCCUGGCCAACAUGGCAAAACCCCGUCUCUACUAAAAAUACAAAAAUUAGCUGGGUGUAGUGGCGGGUGCCUGUAAUCCCAGCUACUCAGGAGGCUGAGGCAGGAGAAUCGCUUGAACCCAGGAGGCGGAGGUUGCAUGAGCUGAGAUUGUGCCACUGUCCUCCAGCCUGGGCAACAGAGUGAGACUCCAUCUCA